RNAcentral lists this ribosomal RNA (636 nucleotides) under Triticum aestivum (bread wheat). RNAcentral describes it as "partial small subunit ribosomal RNA". Lineage: Eukaryota; Viridiplantae; Streptophyta; Magnoliopsida; Poales; Poaceae. The record is from RNAcentral.
AUGUAUAGCAUCAAGGUUGAUGUUAGUGCGGAACUGCAUGAGCUCCUAGUGAACGAAGAGAUCUUUUGGUUGCAGCAGUCUCAUGAAAGAUGGCUACUGAAAGGAGAUCUUAAUACUGACUACUAUCAUAAGAUUGCGAACGGGCGUAAGAGGAAAAACACGAUCCAUUCCCUGAAAGCUGGGGAUGUGAAAAUAGAAGGGACUAAUAAUCUGAUUGCCCAUGCGACAGAGUUCUACAAAAACCUUUUCGGUCCAGCACCCGGCAAUGAGUUCCAUAUGGAUCCUGAUACUUGGACCACUAAUGAAAAACUUGAUGAAGAGGAUAACGCUGAUCUGUGUCGGGCCUUUACGGAGACAGAAGUUAAGGAAGCUCUGUUUGCUAUGGCACACAAUAGAGCACCUGGGCCGGACAACAUUCCUGUGGAGUUCUAUCACGUGUGCUGGGAUAUCAUGAAGGAUGAUAUUAUGCUCCUGUUUGAACACUUUCAUAAAGGGGAACUGGAUGUACAACGCCUCAAUUAUGGUGUGAUUACUCUCCUCCCCAAAACUGCGGACGCAGACAAGAUUCAGCAGUUCCGCCCGAUUUGCCUCCUGAGGUGUCCGUACAAACUUAUUACUAAGGUCCUAGAUAGGUGA